Molecule: ribosomal RNA, 253 nt
Filed under: uncultured bacterium
Lineage: Bacteria
Description: partial 16S ribosomal RNA
Rfam family: Bacterial small subunit ribosomal RNA
Source: RNAcentral
GACGAACCGAGCGAACGUUAUUCGGAAUCACUGGGCUUAAAGGGCGCGUAGGCGGGCGAUCAAGUCAGGGGUGAAAGCCCCCAGCUCAACUGGGGAAGUGCCUCUGAUACUGGUCAUCUCGAGGGAGGUAGGGGCGUACGGAACUUCCGGUGGAGCAGUGAAAUGCGUAGAUAUCGGAAGGAACACCGGUGGCGAAAGCGGCGCGCUGGACCUCUUCUGACGCUGAGGCGCGAAAGCCAGGGGAGCGAACGGG